Molecule: ribosomal RNA, 245 nt
Filed under: uncultured bacterium
Lineage: Bacteria
Description: partial 16S ribosomal RNA
Rfam family: Bacterial small subunit ribosomal RNA
Source: RNAcentral
GAUCAUGGCUCAGGACGAACGCUGGCGGCGUGCCUAACACAUGCAAGUCGAACGGAACUGUUUUGAAAGAUUUCUUCGGAAUGAAUUUGAUUUAGUUUAGUGGCGGACGGGUGAGUAACGCGUGAGUAACCUGCCUUCAAGAGGGGGGAUAACAUUCUGAAAAGAAUGCUAAUACCGAAUGACAUAUCGGAACCACAUGAUUUUGAUAUCAAAGAUUUUAUCGCUUGAAGAUGGACUCGCGUGCG